GGUUGAUCCUGCCGGACCCGAUCGCUAUCGGGAUAGGGCUAAGCCAUGGGAGUCAUACGUACCCGGCAAGGGUGCGUGGCGGACGGCUGCGUAACACGUGGCUAACCUGCCCUCUGGACUAGGAUACCCCCGGGAAACUGGGGAUAAUCCUGGGUAGGUGGAGAGUACUGGAAUGGCGCCAGAGGAUGGGGCUGCGGCCCAUCAGGUAGUUGGGGGGGUAAAGGCCCUCCAAGCCUAUAACGGGUAGGGGCCGUGGAAGCGGGAGCCCCCAGAUGGGUACUGAGACAAGGACCCAGGCCCUACGGGGCGCACCAGGCGCGGAACGUCCACAAUGCGCGAAAGCGUGAUGGCGCUAUCCCGAGUGCCACCAGUUGGUGGCUUUUCCCUACUCUAGAAAGGUAGGGGAAUAAGCGGGGGGCAAGACUGGUGUCAGCCGCCGCGGUAAUACCAGCUCCGCGAGUGAUCGGGACGCUUAUUGGGCCUAAAGCGCCCGUAGCCGGUUCUGCAAGUCCGCGUUUAAAGACCCGGGCUCAACCCGGGGAACGGCGUGGAUACUGCAGAACUAGGGGGCGGGAGAGGCCGGGGGUACUUCAGGAGUAGGGGCGAAAUCCUCAGAUACCUGAAGGACCACCAGUGGCGAAGGCGCCCGGCUAGAACGCGCCCGACGGUGAGGGGCGAAAGUUGGGGCAGCAAAGCGGAUUAGAUACCCGCGUAGUCCCAACUGUAAACGAUGCGGGCUAGAUGUUGACCGGGCUUCGAGCCCGGUCAGUGUCGCAGGGAAGCCGUUAAGCCCGCCGC
Molecule: ribosomal RNA, 798 nt
Filed under: uncultured archaeon
Lineage: Archaea
Description: bacterial SSU rRNA
Rfam family: Archaeal small subunit ribosomal RNA
Source: RNAcentral